Molecule: long non-coding RNA, 3052 nt
Filed under: Daucus carota (carrot)
Lineage: Eukaryota; Viridiplantae; Streptophyta; Magnoliopsida; Apiales; Apiaceae
Description: long non-coding RNA (DCAR_LNC006590)
Source: RNAcentral
GCCAGCAAAAUUUAUUAAACAAUUGAAAAGCGUAUCAAAAUUGGAGAGCGGCAAAACUCCCGGUCUCAAUUCACACACCUCACAUUUCAGUCUCCACACACUCAGCUCACUCACCUCUUUUACACUCACCUCUCUUCUCAAACUCCCCUCACUCACCUCUCCGGCACUUUUGACGACAACUGAAUCGGGGUCUCUCUCAAUGGAUUUCACCUUUAUUAGGGCUUUUUUGUUUCGGAUCUUCAGUUGUGGGCUUCGAUUUAAAGCUUCUUAAUUCAUUCACUGAAAUUAGGGCUUGAGAUUUAUAGUUUCUUACAAUUUAUUUAAGAGAUUCGAAUUAUGAGUUUCACUUUAACGUUGUUAAUUUAGUGUCUCUGUUUGUUUCAAGGCUUCAAUCAGAUUGGGCUCCAAUCCAAUCAGGACUUCCAUCAAAUUAGGGCUUUUCACUUUAAUGGGGGCUUCAAAUUGCUUGGAUUGUGAUUUAAGAUACACUCCUCUCUCAUAUAUUUGCUUGUAAGUAUGUAUCUUUGUUCUCUAAAAUCUAUGUUUGAUUUUAAAUAUAUGUGAUUCUGUGUAUAUGAGUUUUGGUUUGUUCUAUGUUGUCUUUGUCUAUCUCUCUCAUUCUCUUCCCCUCCCUCUCCUACUCUGUCUCCCCCUCUCUCUUACACACACAUUUAAUUUACUAUUUUACUUGCUAAUAUACACACACACACUCUACUACUCUGUUUCUCUUGUACAGAUUCUAUUAUGUGUAUUAUGUAUAUUUGUUAUUUUUAUUAUAUUGAUACUAAAAUAAUCUCAAGUGCUUGACAAGCUUGAUCGAUAAUAUGAGCUCUGCCAGACCUCAGUUUCCUACCAAAGAGUACAUGAAAACACAGGUAGAUAUCCAAACUUUUGCACCUAAUUAUAUAUCGUGAGUGAUUUACUGACUUUUUGUUUCUAUAGAUCAAACUAUCUGACCCUAUACACUAAUACACCAGUUAUCACUGGAGAAAUCGGUGCGCGAAAAUCUUCAAACCCGUGCUUCCCUUCACGGGGAGUCAUUUAAUUUCUCCAUUGGUAAAAUGCAUCCUGCAACUUUUGCUCAUCAUAUUUACUAUCUUUCAGGAAAGACUUUAUGUUAUUCUAAAAUAGGGAGAACAGUCAAACAACUGUUAUUGGUUGUCCUGGCGAACCAAUCUAGACAGGUGAGGUUUCUUGUCAUAUAGCCUUCAUCCACUGUUAACUUGAUAAGGUUUUAGUUGUCAAGUUUGAGUUAUAAUAUUACAUCUAAGAAAACCUUACUCAAGCAGGACUUUUCUAUGCUGAUUAUAAACCCUGAAAAACAAAAGAUGUAAUAUACAAGCUAAUGACUCCCCUGGCUUUGUAGAUUUGAGUAUAGGAACCUCGUAGGUUAACUUCUAUUUUGUACAUGUGAAGAAAAUGGUUUUUUAAAUCAGCGUGAUGUGUAGUUUAGUGACCUUAGAAUAGUUUAAUAUAUUUAGGUCUCAUAUAUUAAUUCAGUUGGCUUGGCAUCUGUCAGAAACAUUAAGAUGGGUUUGGCUAAGAAUUUGGUUAUUAGAAUGAAUGAGCAUAUAUUUAUAUACUAGAACUCCGUAUUCUGUCUGAAAUCAAAGUGCUUCCAGUUGGCCAUAUUACUCCCCCUACAAUAAUAAAACUGUAGCCUGUCAAUAUUAUUGAAUCUUUAUAUAUGUGAACUAAUGAACUAAAAAAUAGAGAUUAGUGGUAAAGAAUAGAGAUUAGUGGUAAUGGGAUAUGCUUUCUUCUGGCACUUAAGCAUCAUUGUAGAAAAUACUUAUCAUUCAUAAAAGGGUCAAAGUGUGAUUAUAUGAUAUAAACUUUAUUCAGUUCUGUGUAGAUAGCUUUCUCACAAAUUUUGGUGUAGGGGUAUAUAUACUAUAUUCUAUAUACUCUGAAGUUUAUAUGUUUAACUUUAUCGAACUGAGCUUAACUUUAUAUGUUUGUACUAGGCUACAACACCAAAUUUGGAACAGAAGCUUGAAAAAUUAGCUCCUGCAGAUGCUGUUGCUGGUUUGAUUGCUCCCUAUUUUGUGGAAAGGUUAGAGUCUACUUUUAAAUAUAAUAAAAUCAUUUACAGGGAUAUACACAAUCUUUAGGAAAGUGUAAUAAUUUUCCAGUUUGAAGCUUUCGGCCUGCGGUUUGAUAGAGAGCUGUUUGCUUUCAAAUUACUCCUUUUAAAAUGACACAUGGAGUGAUGUUUUAAUUGUACUAGAAGUGUAUCAAGGUAGCUUCUUGUGUUGUGUCUUGGUGUCCUUUUUGUAAUUGAUGAAUAGCUAAGAGGACACCAUUGUGAUUAAAUACCAAUAAAAAUGGACUAAUCUGUCUACCACUAUACAGGUUUGUAGGAUUACAUCAGUUGAAUUUAAUGGAAUAAAAGAUUUCCCCAAAAUAUGAAAUUUGUCAGAACUUAAAAUGAUGGAAGAGGAAUAGUAGUUUCAUGUGAGACAUGCAAAUCAAGUCAUAGAUCUAUUUAACUAGCUACAACUAUUACAAUUAUAUUAUAGUAUAGUGAUUUGGUUUGAUUUGAACCUCUGCAGUUAGUUAAUAGAAGUGUUUCAGCCUAUAUACCAAUAUUAAUGAUGGACAAAGUUUUUACCCUGUUUAGUUAAUUUCAUUAUCUACUGCAAAUUUAUUGUGUUAUCUGUUUACUGUCCAACUAAAUCCACAUAAUUUGAGUUGUUCAAAAUAAGCAUGGCUUAUUUACCGGAACUCAGCUUAGUAGUUGCAUUGUAUUGUUUCAGGGAAAGCCUAAGCCGUUAAUGGAUCAACCUAACAGAGUCAAAGACUUGACUGUUCCAGAAUUUGGAACUCUCCAAGCUUGGGAAGUGCGAGCAAAAUGCAAGAAUAUGUUUAUUUAUAUAAUAGUGUAGUGUACUGUGAUGUUUGGUUGGAUUUGUUUAAUACUUUGAUUUGGUUGGAUUUGUUAGGUAGUUUGGUUUGGUUGGAUUUGUUAUAAACUUUGAUUUGUAUGAAAGAAUAGUUUAAUGUUGCAGUUGAUAUAGUAAAAUAUUGCAAAAUUGUUAUUUGAUGUUGC